This 37-nucleotide transfer RNA is filed under the name Mutisia speciosa. RNAcentral's name for it is "partial tRNA-Phe". The record is from RNAcentral. Lineage: Eukaryota; Viridiplantae; Streptophyta; Magnoliopsida; Asterales; Asteraceae.
AGUUGGUAGAGCAGAGGACUGAAAAUCCUCGUGUCAC